UCUGCUCAAUGAUUUUUUAAAUUGCUGUGGUAUUUUGACUAUACAAAGGUAUUGAAAUAAGAUUUUAAUUGAAUGCUAAGAGAAUGGAAGUCCAGAAAAAAACUUUUUUUAAAUUAAAAAUUGAAGUUUUUUUAAUUUGUGCAGAAACAAUUAUUUAUAUUAAAGACAAGAAGACCCUAUGAAUUUAUUAAAUUUUUAUUUAAUAUGUAAUUACUAUUAGAAAAAUUUUGGCUGGGGCGGCUAGAAAAUAUUAUGAACUUUUUAAAAAUAAAAUGAUCCAUUAUUAAUGAUUUUAUGUUAAAUACUCUAGGGAUAACAGCGUAAA
This 325-nucleotide ribosomal RNA is filed under the name Rhipicephalus sanguineus (brown dog tick). RNAcentral's name for it is "partial 16S ribosomal RNA". The record is from RNAcentral. RNAcentral also lists the same sequence under 1 other name. Lineage: Eukaryota; Metazoa; Arthropoda; Arachnida; Ixodida; Ixodidae.